This 315-nucleotide long non-coding RNA is filed under the name Sorghum bicolor (sorghum). Its description in RNAcentral is "long non-coding RNA (SBIC_LNC014785)". The record is from RNAcentral. Lineage: Eukaryota; Viridiplantae; Streptophyta; Magnoliopsida; Poales; Poaceae.
AACGGAAUCUGCAUACAAAACAAACUCUAAUAAUUAUAGAAAACAAUAAUUUAUCUAUCCUAGGAGAUCGGCACGCCAUCAUCAUCUUCCCGACGAUUUCUACGCCUUCUUCCACCAUCAUUGGCAUAUCCUUCUUCAUCGACAUCGGCAACCAUCAAUAUCAACCAUCGGUAUAGAUUAAUCAUCAUCCCUGGACUUGAUCAUACCCUGCUACUUUAUUAUCGGCAUCAUACUCCAUCGGCAAUUCCUUUGUCAACCGGUCAUUACUUUCUCGCCUACUGAUCCAAGCUUCAUUAACUUUCCAAAUACGUGUCC